AUGCUCUAAUCCCUAAUUAUCUUUUUAUACAAACAGUAAUUUAGUGAAGUGUUCUUUUUAUAUUGUCAAAUAAACAUGUAAAGGUUUGUAAGAAUGUCCUUGAGAGACAAAAGGAGGAGGAAAAGUCUCCUCGAUGGACAUAGAAGAAGUGGAUUAGCCUGCAGAAGCAAUGGGGGAUGGCAAACAUCUCCCACCCUCUCUCUUGGUCCAUAAAGAUGAGGGGGUAGAAAUAUUGAAAGAUUCUGCUACUGUAACCUUACAACAAAGGUAGUGUUAAUAUUCAUGGUCAGUGAUUCUUCUCUGGACCACCUCAAAGGCUGGCAUGAAGAGGAGAAAACCCAUCAUGAAUAAGGAAUGGGGGCUUUAGGUUAUGUGGGAUUCACAACUGGGAGAUGAGGAUAUUUUUGUUUGUUUUAUUCUUUUCACAUAGGAAAUAUCAGAUAAGUCUGUUUCAUGCAGAUAUGCCAUCAUCCAUUUGCAAUAACAAACCAUUUGUGCAUUUGCUAGCAUGAACCCAUAAGAGGGAACACAUCGCAGAAAUAUAUUUUCCUUGGCAGUUUUCUUCUUCAGAAUAGACCAAUUA
Molecule: non-coding RNA, 583 nt
Organism: Notechis scutatus (mainland tiger snake)
Lineage: Eukaryota; Metazoa; Chordata; Lepidosauria; Squamata; Elapidae
Source: RefSeq, a predicted model, not a curated record